This 616-nucleotide long non-coding RNA is filed under the name Mytilus galloprovincialis (Mediterranean mussel). The record is from RNAcentral. Lineage: Eukaryota; Metazoa; Mollusca; Bivalvia; Mytilida; Mytilidae.
GUUCUGAAAUUCUGACCUGUACGCGUCAGUUUUUGUUUUCGUAUUUUUCCAUCGAAUCCGUCAAACCAAAACUUAUUUUGAAUUUGCCGCCGAUCUACUUCAAAUGCGAUCACGUGGUUUUUUGCGAGAGUUCACGUGAUUGAGUGUUGUUGUUUUGGAAGUGUCACGAAAGAGAAGUCAUUGAGUACUUUAUUGAUUAUUUACGUUUUUUAGUGAAAAUCUAGGUCAUUGUGGGCAUUUUCAGAAGGGUAAUACAUAUAUCCUCCGUAUUUUCAUGGCGAUUUUUAUAUUUUUUGCGUAUUAAGGGGUUUCAUGCCAGUGAUUUUUUCACUGUUUGAUGAAGGCGCGUGACCUGUAAAUACGGGCGCGUGGUCUGUGAGAUGACCUGGUGUUUGCCAAUUCUGACUUGUUCACGUCAGAAAUUGUUGUUAUUGUAAUGAAUUGUUAUUUUCGGGAGAUAACUCUUGUUGUCUUAAACAGGAUUUACCUUAUUUUCCUAUUUGAAAAGUAAACUACUACUUCGAGCAAACGUUCUGACCAUCAUUACGUAAUUUCAGACACACAUUGAUUACGUAGUAUUUCUAUUUUUAAACUAAAUCAUGAAUUGAUUUUUUUU